This 203-nucleotide unclassified non-coding RNA is filed under the name Hevea brasiliensis (rubber tree). Lineage: Eukaryota; Viridiplantae; Streptophyta; Magnoliopsida; Malpighiales; Euphorbiaceae. The record is from RNAcentral.
GAACCAAACUCAGUUGUGUACGUAAAUUUUGGUAGCAUCACUGUAAUAAACCCACAACAAAUGGUAGAAUUUGCUUGGGGGCUAGCCAACAGCAAGAAACCCUUUUUGUGGAUAAUAAGACCGGAUCUUGUGGUUGUCGAAGGUGCCAUGUUGCCACCCGAAUUUGUGUCUGAAACUAAGGAUAGAGGCAUGUUAGCGAGCUG